RNAcentral lists this ribosomal RNA (466 nucleotides) under Pseudoalteromonas sp. GSO3TIBB4. RNAcentral describes it as "bacterial SSU rRNA". It matches the Rfam family "Bacterial small subunit ribosomal RNA", at positions 72 to 531 of the family's 1533-position model. Lineage: Bacteria; Pseudomonadati; Pseudomonadota; Gammaproteobacteria; Alteromonadales; Pseudoalteromonadaceae. The record is from RNAcentral.
AGAGAAGCUUGCUUCUCUGCUGACGAGCGGCGGACGGGUGAGUAAUGCUUGGGUAUCUGCCUUGUGGUGGGGGACAACAGUUGGAAACGACUGCUAAUACCGCAUAAUCUCUACGGAGCAAAGUGGGGGACCUUCGGGCCUCACGCCACAAGAUGAACCCAAGUGGGAUUAGCUAGUUGGUAAGGUAACGGCUUACCAAGGCGACGAUCCCUAGCUGGUCUGAGAGGAUGACCAGCCACACUGGAACUGAGACACGGUCCAGACUCCUACGGGAGGCAGCAGUGGGGAAUAUUGCACAAUGGGCGCAAGCCUGAUGCAGCCAUGCCGCGUGUGUGAAGAAGGCCUUCGGGUUGUAAAGCACUUUCAGUCGUGAGGAAAGGUAACGUGUUAAUAGCACGUUGCUGUGACGUUAGCGACAGAAGAAGCACCGGCUAACUCCGUGCCAGCAGCCGCGGUAAUACGGAGG